Molecule: ribosomal RNA, 1056 nt
Filed under: Triticum aestivum (bread wheat)
Lineage: Eukaryota; Viridiplantae; Streptophyta; Magnoliopsida; Poales; Poaceae
Description: partial small subunit ribosomal RNA
Source: RNAcentral
AUGGAGGCCACGACGAAGAACCAAGAAACGGCCGCCGGCGACAAGCCCGCGCCGCCGGUGCUGCCGUGGUCGGUGAGGCUCCAGCUGUUCGCGCUCGUCACCGCCAACGACAUCGCGCAGCGCCGCGACGGGACCGUCAACCGCUUCCUCUUCUCCUUCGGCGACCGGCAGUCGCCCGCGAGGCCGCGCCCGGACGCGCACGGCGUCCGCUCCGCCGACGUCACCGUCGACGCCUCCCGGAACCUCUGGGCGCGCGUCUACUCCCCCGCAGCGGAGGCGACCCCACUCCCCGUCCUCGUCUACUUCCACGGCGGCGGCUUCACGCUGCUCUCCGCGGCCUCCACGCCCAUCGACGGCAUGUGCCGCCGCUUCUGCCGCGAGCUGGGCGCCGUGGUCGUCUCCGUCAACUACCGCCUCGCGCCCGAGCACCGCCACCCGGCCGCCUACGACGACUGCGUGGACGUGCUCCGCUACCUCGGCGCCGCCGGCCUCCCCGCGGACGUCUCCGUCCCGGUCGACCUCUCCCGCUGCUUCCUCGGCGGGGACAGCGCGGGGGGCAACAUCGUCCACCACGUCGCCCAGCGGUGGACGGACGCGGCUCCCUCCGACAGCCCCGUCCGCCUCGCCGGCAUCGUCCUCCUGCAGCCGUACUUCGGCGGCGAGGAGCGCACGGAGGCGGAGCUGAGGCUGGAGGGCGUGGCGCCGGUGGUGAACAUGCGGCGCUCCGACUGGGCGUGGAGGGCGUUCCUGCCGGAGGGGGCGGACCGGAACCACCCGGCGGCGCACGUGACGGGCGAGGCGGGCCCGGAGCCCGAGCUGGCGGAGGCGUUCCCGCCGGCGAUGGUGGCCGUCGGCGGGCUGGACCCGCUGCAGGACUGGCAGCGGCGGUACGGCGCCAUGCUGCGGCGGAAGGGGAAGGCGGUCAAGGUACUCGAGUUCCCGGACGCCAUCCACGCCUUCUACUGUUUCCCCGAGCUCCCCGACUCCGGCAGGCUCGUGGAGGAGAUCAGGGCGUUCAUCGGGACCAACGCGCCCACUCAUCACCCCGAUGCUUGA